Rosa rugosa (rugosa rose) is the source of this 1241-nucleotide long non-coding RNA. RefSeq lists it as uncharacterized. Lineage: Eukaryota; Viridiplantae; Streptophyta; Magnoliopsida; Rosales; Rosaceae. The transcript is spliced from 8 exons. The record is from RefSeq and is a predicted model, not a curated record.
GUCCGGUACCGUACCGAACCCAGCCCUAGAUAGAAGGGUCUGGACUUGGUUUUGAUAGAGGUUGCCGUUGUUUUCAUGCGAUAGAAGGGAGUGGGUUUAGCUCUUUUCAAUCUUCGAUCUGUCGGUAAAAGGUGAUCUGCUACAACUAAACCAAUCGUGCUUGGGUUUUGGGUCUUGAAGAUAAUCGUGCUCGACCAACCAGAAUUGAUAGAAUGGAGAAAAGCCAAACCAUUCCAAUCUUGGAUCUGUGGGUGACAGGUGAUCUGCUACAAAUAAACCAAUCGUGCUUGGAUUUUGAAGAUAAUCGUGCUGGACCAACCAGGUGAUCUGCUACAACUGAACCAAUCGUGCUUGGGUCUUGAAGAUAAUCGUGCUAGACUAACCAGAUAUGGAUGGUUGAUUGGAACGGGGCCGUAACUUCUUUUACAUUAUUGUUUCUGCAAUUAGCUGAAGUUCAGACAAAGCAUAUAUGGUCCUUUUUGUUCCUUGCUGCGGAAUAAUCGACCCAAUUUCAGCGGUUCAGAAAUUUGAUGAGAUCGCAAAACAAUCUAUGUCAGAAGGUGAUAACAGCAAAGUCUACUAACCCCAAAUUAUCAUUCAUGACAUAUCAGACAAGGGAUUAGUAGAAAACUGGAGAAUACAUACAAAAGUCAAGACAAAGUUGCACUUCAUGAAAGCUCCAACCAAGAUGAAUGAAAAAGUAAUCUGCUUUCCAAGUUUUUUAAUACUUAGUUUUCCAAAAACAGUUUCACACUAUUAGAGAAGUUUAAAUUGUUUUGAUUUAAACUUUGCUUUAACUGUUCUCUUUACCACAAAUUAUGGCAUUCAAUUUCAAUGAGAAGCUUCCAGAUAGUGUUCAACUCUUCUAGAAUUAAAGUUGACAUUUUUGGAUAAAAUUCUGUGAUGAAUCUUUUACUUCACACUCAGUGAUUCCUUUAUCUUCAUCAUUUUUCUCAAUUUUAGUUACUCUAUGUUUCCCCUAUCUCGCAAAAUUUUCUAACCAAAUCUGAUUGCUGUCUUUCCUAAUUCUUCUUUGACCCGCCUGAUUAUAAGACUGGUUUUCAACACAAGGCCAUAGAGAAGUUACCUUCUUUCACUAAAUUUCAUUAUGGAUUGUUCAUUUAUGUGACUUAAGAAUCAAUGAAAGAUUAAAAUGGCAUUUUGUUGAAGCCACCAUGUUUUUCACUUUUUCACUUCCCCCUUUUUUAACACUACACAGAAAAUAUCUGGAUAUAUAUAUA